AGAGGUUUGCAGUAUACGUGGUGGUACCCAUGUGGCCUGAAGGUAUUCCCGAAAGUGGCUCCGUGCAAGCUAUCCUAGACUGGCAGAAGAAGACAAUGGAGAUGAUGUACACGCAAAUCGCCAAUGCGCUUCGUGCUCAAGGUAUCGACGAUCAAAGUCCAAGGGAUUAUCUUACAUUCUUCUGUCUUGCCAAUAGAGAGACCAAGGUAGAGGGCGAAUAUGAACCUACUGAGAGCCCAGAGGAAGGAAGCAAUUAUGCAGCUGCUCAAGCGGCUCGCCGAUUUAUGAUCUACGUGCAUUCGAAGUUCAUGAUUGGUAAGUCCCAUUACUCAAUGCUCGAUUGCCGAAUUUGGAGUGCCGUUUUCCUUUAAUUGUAUAUAUAAUCCUCGAUGAGUACAUGUCUCAGUAUCUGAGAAUAUUUAGAAUGACGAUUCUUUUUUGUUGUUGCAGUGGAUGAUGAGUACACCAUCAUCGGAUCAGCGAACAUUAACCAGAGGUCGAUGGACGGUUCUCGUGACUCUGAAAUCGCCAUUGGAGCCUACCAACCUUACCAUUUGAGCCGUGAUCGUCCCCCACGCUCUCAUAUCCACGGUUUCCGAAUGUCUUGUUGGUACGAGCACAUUGGUAAGCUGGACAAUGCAUUCUUAAAACCUUGGGAUCUCGAAUGUAUUCGCAAGGUGAAUCGUAUUGCAGACCAACAUUGGGAAAUGUUCGCUGGCGACGAGAUUGUUGACAUGCCCGGCCAUCUCUGUUCUUACCCCAUAGUUGUCAACGACGACGGUACCAUAACCAACAUUCCCGGAUUGGAACACUUUCCCGAUACCCAAGCUCCAAUCCUCGGUACGAAGUCUGGCAAUUUGCCAUCCAUCCUGACCACAUAAGAGGAAGAUGUCAAAAGGCAACCACUCUGGGUGUUUGAACACUGUACUGUGUACAUUUAGUUGUUAAACUCCUGUGUGGAACCUCUUAGACCGCAAUCUGGAGUUGUGGAGG
This 993-nucleotide long non-coding RNA is filed under the name Physcomitrium patens. Its description in RNAcentral is "long non-coding RNA (PPAT_LNC006374)". Lineage: Eukaryota; Viridiplantae; Streptophyta; Bryopsida; Funariales; Funariaceae. The record is from RNAcentral.